GGUCCUAUGGUCUAGUGGUCAUGACUUUGGAUUCUGACUCCAACAAUCUGAGUUCAAAUCUCAGUAGGACCU
Transfer RNA from Selaginella moellendorffii, 72 nucleotides. It matches the Rfam family "tRNA". From Rfam's summary of the family: Transfer RNA (tRNA) molecules are approximately 80 nucleotides in length. Their secondary structure includes four short double-helical elements and three loops (D, anti-codon, and T loops). The record is from Rfam. NCBI's taxonomy places the organism in Eukaryota, Viridiplantae, Streptophyta, Lycopodiopsida, Selaginellales, Selaginellaceae.